Molecule: long non-coding RNA, 1525 nt
Filed under: Homo sapiens (human)
Lineage: Eukaryota; Metazoa; Chordata; Mammalia; Primates; Hominidae
Description: HSALNT0324081
Source: RNAcentral
CUUGUACUCUUUCCCUUUAUUUCUAGACCGGCCAACACUUAGAGAAAUAGAAAAGAACCUAUGUGAAAUAUCGGGGGCUGGUUUCCCCUGAUAGUGAAGGAGACAGGUUAGAUACACUGGAGCUUCCACACAGGAGAGAGGGAAGGAGCUGGAGAAGAAGGUGAGUUGGAAGAUUUGGGGGUUUUGUUUUUAAGUGAGAGAGCUUUGAAUAGGUUUAAUGCUGAUGGUGGGGAUCCAGUUAAGAGAAACACUGAAAAUUAACUAGAGGGAAAGGUAACUGACAGUAUAGAGUUCCUAAGAACCCAAGCAGUAAAUUCUAGCCUAGCUGGGGGUGGAGUGUGAAGAAGUGAAGAACCUUUUUUAUUUUUUUUUUAAUGGGCUGGGUGUGAAGCUACAUUUGUAGUUUUGUGGCAGGAAGUUCCCUUACUGUAACUUCUAUAUUUUCUGUGAAGCAGAAGACAAGAACUCUGUUCAAAGUUAGGGAGAUGAUAGAUUGAGGGCUAGAAGAGUAAGGCAGGCUUGAAACAAUCAUUGUCACGAAUGGGAGUUGACCAGAGAUUAGUAACGUUGCUGGGCCAUGUGUAGGGGCCCAUUUGAAACCAGCGAUUACAAAUGUGCAGUGGUUCCAGGCCGUGCGGCUGUGUGAAUCUACCUGAUGACCCUCGGCUGCUUGGGUACUGCCAUGGAUAGCGCAUGUGUUGGCUUUGUCCAGCUUUGGGCUUUUUCCCACAUUGAUUUUAAAAAGACAGGAGCCACAGAUUUUGGAGUACUGCAAAAUGACUUUCCAAAUUGAUGAACCAUGGACUCCAAGCUGGAUAGACACAGAAAUGAAAAGAAGGGACUAAUAGGGAAUAAGACGUGUGAUCCAUGGCCCGAUGGCCCUGAUGGACGUGAAGAUCCACUGUUGUGGGAGGAGUGGAACACUAACACUGAAUGAUGGAGGCUGUGGUCAGAAACAGAUUUGUCUGAAUUUCAGUUGAUCCAGAGCAAGAAAAAGAUCACGCCUGAAGAAAUGCUGCUGAUGUCUAUGUCACAGUCCUUUCUGUCUUACCCAUGAACCAAGUGAGAAGACAGCAUUGGCCAGCAGUUUUUACUAUUUCUCUUUAACUCACGUUUGGACUUUAAACUUCCAUCUGCCUCUCUCUCCUACUUUCACGGUGUCUGGAAUGUUUUCUCAAUGCCAACAAUCAAUUCUCUGAUUCUCCAGACACCAGCUGGAUGUCCUACAUUCAAUUCUAACACUAUCUACCUGGAGUUAGCACAGACCUCACAGGUUAAGGGUUCAUUCCCACAAGACCCCCACAACUUCAGAUGUUGGUUGCAAGGCCUGGCUGCCUGCACUUCUGACCCACUGGCUAUAAUUCAGGGGUUCCUGCUGGAACUGUAAUAGGUCCAUCACCAUCACCCAAUGCAGGCAUUAAGUCAGUACACCGAGACACCCGGUUGCGCAGAGAAAGAGGUAUUAUCGUGGAGCCACCAAACAACAAGACAGGAGGAAACCUUCAAAUCCAUCUCCCCAAGGAGU